Molecule: ribosomal RNA, 735 nt
Filed under: Triticum aestivum (bread wheat)
Lineage: Eukaryota; Viridiplantae; Streptophyta; Magnoliopsida; Poales; Poaceae
Description: partial small subunit ribosomal RNA
Source: RNAcentral
AUGCAUCUGCAAAUAUGGUUUCAGGAUGGUAAGGAAGCAGAGGAGCUUCAUGUUCAGGAGCAGGUGGAUGAAAUUGUUGCUGAUGAAUUGGACAGCAAACCUACAGAUAAUUUUGAUCCAAACGCAAGCAAGGAACGUGUCGAGAUCGUGAAUGAUACGGACAGUGAAGAUGUGAAGAAUCCUGACCAAAAUUCAGUGAACAGCUACGUUGAGAAUGAGAUCGCACCAAAUGCCACCGAAGGUGUGAAGAACUCUGAUGAAAGCGCUCCUACCAUCAACAGCCUCGAUGUCGCCCAUGAAGAACAUAUCGGGCAAGGACAUGACGAUGAUCAAGAGACCGCAUCAACACAGAUGACAGCACAUCAAUCACAAAUCUCAGAGCAACUGAAAGUGGAUACCAUGACCGAAACAGCAACAGUGGAGAAUGUGUCGAAGCAUGAGGAGCAGAAACCGCCGGCACAAGAGCCGGUCGCGCCCAUCGACUCACCCGCAUGUCCUUCACUGCCAGCUCUGUUCAAGCCAGCAGAGAAGAAGAGACCAGCGAACACGGGGUGGAAUGAGACGAGGAUGAAGCUUGGACAAGAUGGUGGCAGCAAGAAAGCGGCAGCAAAGGGUGUAGCCGUGGUGACCAUGGAUCGUAGAGCUGCUUCAAUGACCAUUCUUGCCAUCAUCUUCGCAGUGACCAUUGGAGCAAACAUCAUUAUGCGCUUAUAUUCCACUUUGCGAGCAGCAUGA